This is an RNA transcript of Sus scrofa (pig), 3019 nucleotides long. RefSeq lists it as uncharacterized. NCBI's taxonomy places the organism in Eukaryota, Metazoa, Chordata, Mammalia, Artiodactyla, Suidae. The record is from RefSeq and is a predicted model, not a curated record.
AUCAUCUGGCUGGUUUUUUCUCCUUCCUUCUCACAGUGCUUUGUGCUUCUCUGCCUACUCUGCAUGCCAGAUGUGAAGACUGUGCUCAGAGAUGUCAAACAAUUUGGAAGUGUCACCGAGCUGAAAAGAUAUACAUUUGGAAUUUGAACGCAGGCAUAACAUGAAACAUCCACCCUUUAGGGGAGGUUCUGGGUGAUAUUCAACUUGGCUCUCUCAUCUCAGCUUGGCAGGACUCAUCAGUAGUGUCCUUUCCAGCACAAAGGUGAAGAAACCCUCCAUCAACACUCCUCUUGGAUAGAAGUCUUAUUUCUCCCAUCUCCUUCAAAAGACGGAAGAUUCUGCUCAGAAUUCUAAAUGAAGCCCCAAGUAAAUAGGUGUAUUUCCAAGCAGAACUAUUCCUUCUAAGUCUAUAAUCUUCUAUCUGAAAAGUCCUGGACAUUCCCAAAGUCUGCCUAUUGGUAGUCUGUCUGUAAAGAACUAAGACUGUAUUCUGUGGCACUUCUGAGCUUUAAGAAUAUUGACUGAUGAGCCCAUCCACAAUGGAAAAGGCCUAGGCUAUGAUGUAUGAGGAGAGACUCCUGAACCAGUGGCUUCUUUGCAAAAUUAUCAUCAGACAUGGGAGGGAAACCAUCCAGAACCAGAGAGUCCUCAGCUGAUCUGCCUUGCCCCAUAUUCUGUUACCUAACCUCUCCUUGGCUCUGAGCUACUUGACAAUUUUCUAAGAAAUUGCCUUUUACUAAUCAAGCCAAAAUUCGUCACUAAUAUGACCAAGAACCCAAAAUAACAUAGAUUCUUCAACUGGGACUUUGACAGUGCAAGAGGGUGUGGGGUGGGAUAGCUUGACAUUAACACACAACCACCAUGAACAGAUACAGAUUCACUUAGGUUAUGAGUGAAUCAUCUGCAGUCACUUAGAUUUGGUUAUCAAAUAUGCCUUACCAGGAAGUGGUUAAUAGAACCAAUUAUGAGGCAGACAGUAGUAUGAACUUAGCCACCUCUGAGUAGGAAUUUGAGUUUCCACUUGUCAUUUACUUUUUUAAAAAAAACAAUUAAUAUUUAAAAUUUUUUUGUUGGAGAAUAGUUGGCUUACAAUGUUUUGCUAGUUUCAAUUGUACAACAAAUGAAAUCAGUUAUGCAUAUACAUAUAUCCCUUCUUUUUCAGAUUCUGUUCCCAAACAGGUUAUUACAGAAUAUUGAGUAGAGUUCCCUGUGCUAUGCAGUAGAUCCUUGUUAGUUAUCUAUUUUAUAUAUAGUCAUGUGUAUAUGUUAAUCCCAACUUCCUAAUUUAUCCCUCCCCUUUUUAUGUGUGUUGUAUGGAGCUCAGUCUAGAAGUUAUUCAAAGAAUAGUUACAAUAUUUGAAGACUUUGUGUCCUAAGCAACAUUCUUUUUCCCAGUUUCAUUGAAAAUGAUUGACCUAGAAUAUUGUAUUCUCAUCAUCUGCUUUAUGCUUUUGGUAAGUUCAUGUAAAAUCCAUAUAAAACAUAUGACUUAUCCUAGGAGAUACCACACAUUAAUUUUUUCCACCCAUAGCUCUUCUCAUAGGCUGAACUGUGUGAUUAUUGAUACAUGUGUCUGUUUUUACUAGUUUAAGGACAGUAGCUCAUUGUCAUUGUAUUUCUUCAGUUCUAACCUAGGGUUGAUUGGUGGCUAAACUAAGGCAUGUGUAGAUGUAGGCAAUUUAGAGAAGAUCCUGGCUUGUUGAGCUGGCUAUCACCACAGAGAGGCAAGUAAUUAUGAUACCAUGGCCAGACACACUGCUUUAUAGACAGAUGAUGCUCAAUAAAUGCUCAUUGACUUGAAGUUAAGUAGUUUUCCAAAUUUGGAGAAUUCUAGAACAAAGGAACCCAGAGUUUUUGAUAUUAUAUAACCACUUACAUGGUAAAAGAAAUUCCCUUUUGAUACACAGAUAGGUGUAUCAAAGAUGAGGUGUCAUGAAAAGAUGGAAAAGAGAUAUGAAAUCUAAAAUCCAAGAGGAAAAAAAAGGCCUUGGAUGUUAAGUAACAUUUCCUUUUUCUUGCACAGGGUCAUUCCACCAAAAGCUCUCACAAUCUAUCCAAAGACUGUAAAUUUGGUGUUUUGUACAUUAGAAGGUACAUUCAACUGACAAUGCUGGGAAAUCCAUUUUUACAACUUAACAAUUUCUGUCAACAUUUAAAAAAUGUUUUCUGUAUCCAUUUCUUGGGAGACUCAUAAAGCUGGCUUUCCUGAGUGUUCUUGGUUUCUGCUAUUUUUUCAUUCUUUAACUUUUUUUUUCUUUCCAUUUCAAGAAAAGCUAUUGGCCAUUUUCUCACCUUCUUUGGCUUUGGCUCUGAUGCUGGGUGGUUCCAAUAUAAUUAGGUGAGAUUUUUAUAGGCCCUCAAAGGCUAACAAAAUAAUAAAUGUAGCAGUUCAAAUAAUAGCAAUCAUAGCAGGUCAAGCCAAAAAAAAAAAAAAAAUCCUUUGGACUGAAAUUGACAAACCUUAAUGUUAUCAGAGUUUGGAAAUGCAACACUGUCUUUCUUAUUUUUAGCUUUUUUAAACUUUUUUUUCCUUUGUAUUACACAGGGAUAUUUUCAUUCUUUUCAACUGUUACUGAUUUUUCAAAUUUAAAUUUUCAAUGCAUAGAUUCUGCUUACUAAGAAAGUAUCAAAUAUUAAGGCAAAAUGAAUCCUUUUCCAAAAUGAUCAUGUUUUUUCUAGACUCUUUCAAAGGAUACCUUUUCUUUAUUUACUGUCUUACAAAUCAAAAUGUUACAAAUUUCUUUGAAAUGCUUUAUUUGAGCUUAAAAAUAAUGUGUUUAUUGAAUAAAAUUAAACUAUAGAAAAGCACAAAGAAAUUACAAUUGUUAUUUUCCUAGUGAUAACUAGCAUUGCCCUUCUAUGGCCUUCUAGUCUUUUUUCUCUGACUGCAUGUUUAUGACAUAUAUGCAACUGGAAUCAAGCUUGCUGAUUAAGCAGUAUGAAAUAAAAAUUUCUUGACAGUAAACAUAAGGGCUUAUAAAUCUUGAAGUAAUAAAAUUUCAAGUGUAACCCUUUUAUA